UACAGAGGUCUCAAGCGUUGUUCGGAUUCAUUGGGCGUAAAGGGCGUGUAGGCGGUUGGUCAAGUCGGGUGUGAAAGCCUGAGGCUCAGCCUCAGAAGUGCAUCCGAAACUAGCCAGCUAGAGCGCGAUAGAGGAGGGUGGAAUUCCUGGUGUAGCGGUGAAAUGCGUAGAUAUCAGGAGGAACACCGGCGGCGAAGGCGGCCCUCUGGCUCGUUGCUGACGCUGAGACGCGAAAGCGUGGGGAGCAAACAGG
This 253-nucleotide ribosomal RNA is filed under the name uncultured bacterium. RNAcentral's name for it is "partial 16S ribosomal RNA". It matches the Rfam family "Bacterial small subunit ribosomal RNA", at positions 524 to 776 of the family's 1533-position model. The record is from RNAcentral.